CGGGACACGUGGUAUCCUGUCUGAAUAUGGGGGGACCAUCCUCCAAGGCUAAAUACUCCUGACUGACCGAUAGUGAACCAGUACCGUGAGGGAAAGGCGAAAAGAACCCCGGCGAGGGGAGUGAAAAAGAACCUGAAACCGUGUACGUACAAGCAGUGGGAGCACGCUUAGGCGUGUGACUGCGUACCUUUUGUAUAAUGGGUCAGCGACUUAUAUUCUGUAGCAAGGUUAACCGAAUAGGGGAGCCGAAGGGAAACCGAGUCUUAACUGGGCGUUAAGUUGCAGGGUAUAGACCCGAAACCCGGUGAUCUAGCCAUGGGCAGGUUGAAGGUUGGGUAACACUAACUGGAGGACCGAACCGACUAAUGUUGAAAAAUUAGCGGAUGACUUGUGGCUGGGGGUGAAAGGCCAAUCAAACCGGGAGAUAGCUGGUUCUCCCCGAAAGCUAUUUAGGUAGCGCCUCGUGAAUUCAUCUCCGGGGGUAGAGCACUGUUUCGGCAAGGGGGUCAUCCCGACUUACCAACCCGAUGCAAACUGCGAAUACCGGAGAAUGUUAUCACGGGAGACACACGGCGGGUGCUAACGUCCGUCGUGAAGAGGGAAACAACCCAGACCGCCAGCUAAGGUCCCAAAGUCAUGGUUAAGUGGGAAACGAUGUGGGAAGGCCCAGACAGCCAGGAUGUUGGCUUAGAAGCAGCCAUCAUUUAAAGAAAGCGUAAUAGCUCACUGGUCGAGUCGGCCUGCGCGGAAGAUGUAACGGGGCUAAACCAUGCACCGAAGCUGCGGCAGCGACGCUGAUGCGUUGUUGGGUAGGGGAGCGUUCUGUAAGCCUGUGAAGGUGUGCUGUGAGGCAUGCUGGAGGUAUCAGAAGUGCGAAUGCUGACAUAAGUAACGAUAAAGCGGGUGAAAAGCCCGCUCGCCGGAAGACCAAGGGUUCCUGUCCAACGUUAAUCGGGGCAGGGUGAGUCGACCCCUAAGGCGAGGCCGAAAGGCGUAGUCGAUGGGAAACAGGUUAAUAUUCCUGUACUUGGUGUUACUGCGAAGGGGGGACGGAGAAGGCUAUGUUGGCCGGGCGACGGUUGUCCCGGUUUAAGCGUGUAGGCUGGUUUUCCAGGCAAAUCCGGAAAAUCAAGGCUGAGGCGUGAUGACGAGGCACUACGGUGCUGAAGCAACAAAUGCCCUGCUUCCAGGAAAAGCCUCUAAGCAUCAGGUAACAUCAAAUCGUACCCCAAACCGACACAGGUGGUCAGGUAGAGAAUACCAAGGCGCUUGAGAGAACUCGGGUGAAGGAACUAGGCAAAAUGGUGCCGUAACUUCGGGAGAAGGCACGCUGAUAUGUAGGUGAAGCGACUUGCUCGUGGAGCUGAAAUCAGUCGAAGAUACCAGCUGGCUGCAACUGUUUAUUAAAAACACAGCACUGUGCAAACACGAAAGUGGACGUAUACGGUGUGA
Molecule: ribosomal RNA, 1452 nt
Filed under: Escherichia coli
Lineage: Bacteria; Pseudomonadati; Pseudomonadota; Gammaproteobacteria; Enterobacterales; Enterobacteriaceae
Description: partial 23S ribosomal RNA
Rfam family: Bacterial large subunit ribosomal RNA
Source: RNAcentral